GUAGGGAAUCUUCCACAAUGGACGAAAGUCUGAUGGAGCAACGCCGCGUGAGUGAAGAAGGUUUUCGGAUCGUAAAACUCUGUUGUUGGAGAAGAACGUAUUUGAUAGUAACUGAUCAGGUAGUGACGGUAUCCAACCAGAAAGCCACGGCUAACUACGUGCCAGCAGCCGCGGUAAUACGUAGGUGGCAAGCGUUGUCCGGAUUUAUUGGGCGUAAAGCGAGCGCAGGCGGUUUCUUAAGUCUGAUGUGAAAGCCUUCGGCUCAACCGAAGAAGUGCAUCGGAAACUGGGAAACUUGAGUGCAGAAGAGGACAGUGGAACUCCAUGUGUAGCGGUGAAAUGCGUAGAUAUAUGGAAGAACACCAGUGGCGAAGGCGGCUGUCUGGUCUGUAACUGACGCUGAGGCUCGAAAGCAUGGGUAGCAAACAGGAUUAGAUACCCUAGUAGUCC
RNAcentral lists this ribosomal RNA (450 nucleotides) under uncultured bacterium. RNAcentral's name for it is "bacterial SSU rRNA". It matches the Rfam family "Bacterial small subunit ribosomal RNA", at positions 354 to 796 of the family's 1533-position model. The record is from RNAcentral.